Molecule: ribosomal RNA, 687 nt
Filed under: Triticum aestivum (bread wheat)
Lineage: Eukaryota; Viridiplantae; Streptophyta; Magnoliopsida; Poales; Poaceae
Description: partial small subunit ribosomal RNA
Source: RNAcentral
AUGGAGCAAGGUCGUGGCACUGCCGUCGCUGCGCACGGAGAUGUGGUCGAGGGCGCGGAGACCGCCGCAUAUGCCGUCCAAGAAGUGGCCGCCGUCGGCGGUGCGGGAGAUGCUGCACCUGCAUUCGCUGGAUCGGUCCCUGCGGCGGCGGAUCUGGUGGCGCAGGGGGUGGUGGGCUCGCACUCCGUCGUGGAAGACCUGGUGGUGACGGCGUCUGGCGGUGCACUGGAUGUAGGUGCGGAGGCGAGCGACAAGCAGGUGGUGGAUGUGAAUGAGGAAGCUGCUGGCAACAAGAGGAAGCUGGACAUCGCUGGGUUCGACGACCCGUCUGAUUCUGACGACGACUUGGGGUACAACUCUGGAGAUGAGGUGGAAGAGUGGAACCACAGGUCCUUCAUUGAGCAUGAAGCCAUGAAGAUCAGGGAGAAGGGGAAGGCGGCGUACUUCAAGUGGGGCAAGUUCAGGAUGGAUGAGCUGAAUGGAGAAAUAGUAUGCGUGGUGGAGAAAUGGUGCAAGCUUGUUGCAGAUCUAUCGAGCGGUCAACGCGCUAGAGUGGCUGAUACAUCAUUGCGCAGCAUGCUACAUAUACCAUCUAUUAAGAUGCGUACCCUGCUGAUUAGGUAUAUGGUAGAGAAUUUUCAGGCCAGCACGGCAGAUUCAUUAUACAAGAGCAGGUUGGGGAGGUGA